UCUGUCAACAAUCUGAAAAGCCAGUUCCUCCCAGAGCCUCCAGAUGAGGACUCCAGUGAGCUGACAUCUCUGCUUCAGCCAUGUUAUGCCCUGAACAUGGAACACAGCAGAGCCUGCAUGAGCUUAGGACCUACAGAACUGGGAGCUAAUAUAUGAGCAUCACUUAAAAGGAAAAAUAUAUAUGUUCACCUUGCUGCCUUCAGUCCUCAGCUGAAAGUGGAUUUGCUUUGAGUACCCCAGGGCUGGCCAGCUCUCUUGGGCCAAGAGGUAACCAGAGAGGUUGAUUAGGAGUUAAGAAUCCAGACACUGGAGCCAAGUUUCCGGGGUUCAGAUCUCAGCACUGCCACUUACCGCCUCUGUCAUGUUGGGCAAGUUAACCUUCUUCUGCCUCAGUUUCCCUGAGUUUGGUUCCAGAAUGGGCCUCUGACCUACCCCAGGCUAAUGAGAAGUGGAGAGAAGUUUGCCAGACACUUCUGGGAAAGUUCUUCCUCACUCUUCCAGGAAGAUGGCCUGGAAGUGAAUCUAUUUUCCUGCUGGACAUGAAAGAGGAUGCCCGUGGCCCUGACAGCUCCUGGCAGUCAUUCUGCGAUCACGAGGAGGACCAGCCUGAGGAUGAAACCAACACUGUGGACGGAGACAUGGAAAAAGCCUGACUCCAGGUUGAGAUCACUAGGCUGCUGGAUCUCCUGCUACCCAAUCCUAGAAAUGUCCUAUGUGGGGAGCCAACGGAGCCUAUGCCAGUAAAGCACGCUGGAGUUUUAUUACCCGCUUCUUUCUAGCGAAGGGCAUUCUAAAGAGCUCAAGUGACCAGGAAAGUCUCUCUGAGGAGGUGGCAUUUGAGUUGAGCCUGAAGGAUGAAUUGGAACCACCACAGGAAGAGUGUUCCAGGCAGAGGGAACAGCACAUGCAAAAGUCCUGAGGGCAUGGAGGAAGAGACGGGGUCAAAAGGCUGUUGCUACAAACAUAUGAAGUUUGUAGCAAGUAAGUCAUACACAAAAGAAUUCGUGUUAUGUGCCGCCAUUCCAUGAAGUUCAAAAACCGGCAAAAAUCGUCACUGCUGUUGGAAUCAGGAUAAGGGUUAUCGCUGAGGAUGGGAAAGACUUGAAGGGAGCUUCUCCGGGGCAGGGAAUGUUCUGUUCCUUGAGCUGGGGACUGGUUACCCCGCUGUGCUGCCUUUGGGAAAAUGUAUCGUGCCAUCGCUCCCCUGUGCACUUUCCUUAUUUGUGCACUUUUCUGUAUGUCUGCUAUACUUCAAUAAAAAAGCUUCCUCCCAAAAGUCUCUGUGGUCUGUUGGAAGCCGGCAAUGGCCGAGGGGCUGAGGGGCACAGGUAGGGACGCUUCCUUGUCAGCCACCGCAGUUUCUGUUUCAGCUCGAGGUACAGCAAUCAACUUCCUCCUCAGAUGUGUGACUUGCUGCUGACCCUAGAACCUUUGGCCACAGGGCUCCUCUUGCCCCUAUAAUGUGGCCUGAUUCCAUUUCUUCAUCCGGGUCCAGUCUGGUGUCAGCCAGCUUGACUGUCCAUUAUUAUCAGAUG
Molecule: long non-coding RNA, 1535 nt
Organism: Rhinopithecus roxellana (golden snub-nosed monkey)
Lineage: Eukaryota; Metazoa; Chordata; Mammalia; Primates; Cercopithecidae
Exons: 4
Source: RefSeq, a predicted model, not a curated record